RNAcentral lists this long non-coding RNA (2503 nucleotides) under Papio anubis (olive baboon). RNAcentral's name for it is "lncRNA (ENSPANG00000047662.1)". Lineage: Eukaryota; Metazoa; Chordata; Mammalia; Primates; Cercopithecidae. The record is from RNAcentral.
AAUUUAGGCUGGACAAAGCAGAAGGAAAUCCAAGGUCCCGUUGACCUCCAUGACGAACAGCAGCUCCAUGCAUGCCACUUUCUUACUGCUCAGACCCUGCUCAGGCUAUUCCAGCAGAAGGAUUCUCCAUCUCUGCAGACUCAGCUGCUCCACACACUAUAUGGCAGAUGAAAGAAGAUGAAGGAGAGAGGAGGCAGCCUCGAUAACUUCUCUGUUCCUUCUGAAAAAUGUCCUAUCUACAUCCCAGAGACCUGGAAUGCACAGAAAUGUAGGGGAGAAGGGUCUAAAGCAGAACAGGAAGCUUGACCCUACUCAAGUCUCAAAUACUGGCGAGAAAAGCAGCUACAGCAGCAGCAGCAGCAGCAGCAGCAGCAGCAGCAGCAGCAGCAAUAGCAGGAAAAAUGAACCAGAGGCCAGAGAGACACAAGCAACUCCUACAGGGAUGUACAAACUGGGAAGAAGGCUUUUAUUCUUAGAACCCAUUUAUGGCUUAGAAAUACAAUUUCUAACAUGCCUUAUAUUUCUAGUCAGGUGACAAGAUUAAUCAAAGGCACAUGAAUGAAGUCUUCAGGAAUUACCCAUCCAUCCCAUCCAACCAUCCAUCCAUCCAUCCAUCCAUCCAUCCAUCCAUCCAUCCAUCCAUCCUUCCAUCGAUCCAUCCUUUCAACCAUUCAAUGACCAUUUACUGAGGAUCUACAGGAAAUGGCAUUGUAGUGGCAGGGGUCUGAUAGCCCUGAUUCAAGUUCUUACACUGCCAUUUAAGAGUUAGCUGUGUGUACUGAAUAUCUUCCAUCUGCCCUCCAGAUCCAUUCCCUACUACCUGUGCCAGUGAGACUGACCUGUAUUGACUGAAUUGGUGGGCUCAGUUUGUGUCCUGGCUUAUGAUUGGGUUCAUGUCAUAGAGAGCACCAACAGGAGAUGGGAGGGAGGGGGAAAAGUGAGGUUUGAGUAUUUAAUUCUCCAUUCCCCCCUCAACACAUGGUGUCAUUCAGCUAAAGGCCAUGACUGUUGAUAGCUGGCCCUCUCUACACAGUCCCUUCCAUCCUUGGGUUCUAGGAAUCCCCUAAAGACACCUGUAGUUACCUGCCCCCAGGUACUUCCACAUCUCCUUUUAUUUCUUAUGCUCUAUGUUUUCACAAAUAAACCUUUUAUUAGACUCUCCUCAGAUUAUUUCCAUUUUGGUCUGUCUUUGGCUUCCUGAUAUACACUGUGUGACCCUGAGUCUGUUAUUUUACCUUUUUGAGUCUUGAUUUCUGAGUCUUGAUUUCUCUAUGGGUAAAACAGGGAAAUCAAAUAUGCUUUGUAGGAUUGUUGGGAGGCUCAGGGCAGAUAGGUACUGUGCCCAAGUUUGCUCAGCUAGUUAAGGGGAAGAUCUGGCAGGUGAAAAGAGGGAAUCUAAGCUGUAGCCCAUCCUUCUCACUAUACAGUUCGAUAUGGGGUCCUGGGUGGCCCUAAGCAUUUUGGGAUCAGUGGCAACAGAGGCUCACAUUAGUGAACUCAAUGCCCUCUCAAGCCUCUCAAGACCCUCCUGGCCAGGUUGGCACUGGUAUCUUGGGUUCAGGUGGUGGGGGCUUGAGGUGCUGUGAUGGGGAGAGAGCAUCCUUCUUCCUGCUGCUGCAGGAGAGUCUGUUAGAGAGGUUGGGCUGUCAAUUCCAUUCAGUAGUGACAUUUGAGGAAAGGAUGCCCUGGUGUUGGCUGAUGUUGUCAAGGAAGUACUUGUCAAAUUUCCCUCUUGGCUGAGCAGAUGGGGACGUAAAGGGAGGGGGAGCUGGUAUUUGUUGCAUGAUCUCUGAGUACCAGAAACUUUACAAAUGAAUUCUCUCAUUUAAUCUCUCAGCAAUAUAUGAGGUGGGAAAUUUCAUCCCCAUAGUUCAGGAAGGAAACUGAGGCAAAGAAAGCUUAGACAGCUUCUGCAAAGUCCAUAGCCAGUAAGGCUUUGGAUAGGCAAGACGUAACUCAAACCCUGUUUCCUUUGCAGAAACUUCACUCUUCCUAUGAUACAAGGAUAAUCAGCAAGAAAGUCUAUUUUAUUUGCUCAGCAAUUUAUAGUUCUUCCUACAGCUUCUGGGAUUUGGGCCCAUCAAUUUCACUUUCCCAGUCUCUCACAUUUUCAACCUUACUGUCUUCCUUGGCUCCUUCACCUCAACAUAAGAGUGUACUUAAGUCUCUUGUGUCCUUGAGAUAUGUGCUUGCUCAACCCUGCUGCUUCUCCCAGUCACCACCUUUUCUCUUCCUUGCCCUACUGUGUUCCCUUAUCUCCCAGACUGUCCUCACCUAUUGGAGCCAGGCUUCUGUCCCCAUCAAGCCCUGUCCAACCUAUGACUUCCUGGUUGUCAACUUCAGUGGGAAUUAUGUAGUUCUCAUCUUCUUCAGUUUCAUUCAUUCAUUUAUUUGACAAAUAUUGUUGAGUUACUACUAUAUGUCAAGCAUCAUUCUAGGUCCUAGAGACAAAGAAUGAACAAAACAGAAGCUAGUCCGUGCUGUCAUAGCACCUACAUCCAAG